Molecule: ribosomal RNA, 265 nt
Filed under: uncultured archaeon
Lineage: Archaea
Description: partial 16S ribosomal RNA
Rfam family: Archaeal small subunit ribosomal RNA
Source: RNAcentral
AGUCACUGACAUUAGAUACCCCUGUAGUCCAGGGUGUAAACGCUGCAGACUUGGUGUUGGAAGUCCUUUGGGGGCAUUCAGUGCCGGAGAGAAGUUGUUAAGUCUGCUACUUGGGGAGUACGUCCGCAAGGAUGAAACUUAAAGGAAUUGGCGGGGGAGCACCGCAACGGGAGGAGCGUGCGGUUUAAUUGGAUUCAACGCCGAAAAACUCACCAGCAGCGACUGUUACAUGAAAGUCAGGUUGAUGACCUUACUAGAUUUUCAG